RNAcentral lists this unclassified non-coding RNA (753 nucleotides) under Hevea brasiliensis (rubber tree). Lineage: Eukaryota; Viridiplantae; Streptophyta; Magnoliopsida; Malpighiales; Euphorbiaceae. The record is from RNAcentral.
GACAUGUUUAGGGCUCAUCAUGUUUAUAGGAGUAGAGGAACUGGUGGGAGACACCGGGAGGAGUUUAAUGGAGGAGGGCCUAAUCUGCUACUGCUUCUACAGAUACUGCCUUUCUUGUUGAUUUUUGUGCUUGCUUAUCUGCCCUUUUCAGAGCCAGAUUAUUCUUUGCAUAAGAAUUAUUCCUAUCAAAUCCCCAAGACAACUGAGAAACUUGGAGUGGAGUUUUUCGUCAAAUCAGUGGCUUUUGAUGACAAUUUUCCUAUUGGAAGUCCUGCAAGAGCCAACAUUGAGGACAAUGUAAUUAAGGACUAUAGAAACUUGCUUUGGCGUUAUUGUCACAUAGAACUCCAGAGACGUCACUGGAGUAAGAAUAUGCCCACUCCUAACUGUGAUAAACUUCGGAAUCUGGGGUUAGCAUAAAGGGAAUGUACUGGAGAUGGGAAAGCUUGUACAUGGAAGUUUGUUGAUGGGCCUAGCCAGGAGGUCUCAGUUUGUCUACAAGCCAGAGGGUGUGAUUCGAGUCCCAUAGAUGUGAUGCGCAUUUUCCGCCUUCAUUAAAGGGGACAUUUGGCCCUGCAUAAUAUGCGAAUGCAAUGCUAGUCCAGGAUUUCAUCAAGAAGGGUUUUCAACACCCUAACAUGCCACGAGCUUUUUUUGAUAGGAAUAAGUAGGUAUGCGAUUCGUAUAUGGCUUGUUUAAUAUUUGCCUUGGAGGGCGAGGAUUUGAUGAAUUGAAAAGGGGGAAAAAAAAAAA